Pollicipes pollicipes is the source of this 1420-nucleotide long non-coding RNA. RefSeq lists it as uncharacterized. The transcript is spliced from 2 exons. The record is from RefSeq and is a predicted model, not a curated record. NCBI's taxonomy places the organism in Eukaryota, Metazoa, Arthropoda, Thecostraca, Pollicipedomorpha, Pollicipedidae.
CACUCUUCGGAUCCCCAGCAACUCUCUGGGCGUGAGGUAUGCAAGAAUGUGGUGCUGCAUUUCAGCCGACAGCUGUUGAAACCUGGCGUUGUUACAUCGCAUAUGUGACGUCACUCUUCGGAUCCCCAGCAACUCUGGGCGUAAGGUAUGCAAGAAUAUGGUGCUGAAUUUCAGCCGACAACUGUUCAAACCUGGCGUUGUUACGUCGCAUACGUGACGUCACCCUUCGGAUCCCCAGUAGCUCUCUGGGCGUCAGGUACGCAAGGAUGAGUGCUGCAUUUCCGCGGGCAGCUGUUCAAACCUGGCGUUGUUACGUCGCAUGCGUGACGUCACUCUUCGGAUCCCUAGAAACUCUCUGGGCGUGAGGUAUGCAAGAAUAUGGUGCUGCAUUUCAGCCGACAGCUGUUGAAACCUGGCGUUGUUACGUCGCAUGCCUGACGUCACUCUUCGGAUCCCCAGGAACCCUCUGGUCAUGAGGUAUGCAAGAAUGAGGUGCUGAGUUUUUGCCGACAGCUGAUCAAACCUGGCGUUGUUACGUCGCAUGCGUGACGUCACUCUUCGGAUCUCCAGCAACUCUCUGGGCGUGAGAACCAAGAGUUUCAGGUUCACGGCGGAGAUCGCGACUCGGGGCGACCGGCGGGACCGAGGAUGCUCCAUGUACCAGCCGCCGUGCCGGAUCACCCCCGCCAUCUGGCGGGAGAUAUGUCACAUGUUCCCUUAAACCCAAAGCACCACCAAGAUCACAGGUGAGUUCAUGUUUAGCUCUUGUUGUGCGUGGAUGUGGGUAGAGCGCUUUUUAGGAUUCGCAAGCGUGUGUGUGAUGGAGAUCGGUACCUCGUAUGAUGUUUGUCGGAUAUGUAUGUUUUAAGUGUCGAUGAGAGUUGGUCUUUUAAUUUUGUCGAGUUGAUGUAUGCGAAGGGUGUCUUCAGUUUCUAAAAACCAUCUCGCUUGUGUGGCUGUCUCCUCAGCUUGUUCUUAUGCUGGGAUCUAUUCACAGGGAAUUAUCACAGACGCGGAGACACCUGGCUCGUCCGGUAUGAGCGCGGCGGAGCAGGCGGGCCCAUCGGCGAAGAAGGCGAAGGUAGCAGCGCCGAGUGACCAUGCUAAUAACGGCAAGCAAAGUGGUGCUAUUGGAGCGCAGUUGGGCCUGCUGAUGCUGUUUAUCAUUAUGAUACUUAUAGGGAUUGGGAGAUGAGUGCUGUAUAUUUUAAAGUUCCUCAACUGCGUAAUGUUAAGACGAAUAUUACGUGUAAGUUGUCUACGAAGAUUGCCGUGCUUUUGCCACCUCAGGAUCGUACGGGACCUGUGCAGGUUAAGCCUAGCAACUCAUUGUAUCGUCUUGGACGAGUGUAUUCAGAGGGUACUGACACUGUUGUGUAUCAUAUGUAGGCUGCGGAAGAAUAAAUGUGAAGAUGAUGAA